RNAcentral lists this ribosomal RNA (549 nucleotides) under Saccharomyces cerevisiae (brewer's yeast). RNAcentral describes it as "partial large subunit ribosomal RNA". It matches the Rfam family "Eukaryotic large subunit ribosomal RNA", at positions 85 to 648 of the family's 3401-position model. The record is from RNAcentral. Lineage: Eukaryota; Fungi; Ascomycota; Saccharomycetes; Saccharomycetales; Saccharomycetaceae.
UACGGCGAGUGAAGCGGCAAAAGCUCAAAUUUGAAAUCUGGUACCUUCGGUGCCCGAGUUGUAAUUUGGAGAGGGCAACUUUGGGGCCGUUCCUUGUCUAUGUUCCUUGGAACAGGACGUCAUAGAGGGUGAGAAUCCCGUGUGGCGAGGAGUGCGGUUCUUUGUAAAGUGCCUUCGAAGAGUCGAGUUGUUUGGGAAUGCAGCUCUAAGUGGGUGGUAAAUUCCAUCUAAAGCUAAAUAUUGGCGAGAGACCGAUAGCGAACAAGUACAGUGAUGGAAAGAUGAAAAGAACUUUGAAAAGAGAGUGAAAAAGUACGUGAAAUUGUUGAAAGGGAAGGGCAUUUGAUCAGACAUGGUGUUUUGUGCCCUCUGCUCCUUGUGGGUAGGGGAAUCUCGCAUUUCACUGGGCCAGCAUCAGUUUUGGUGGCAGGAUAAAUCCAUAGGAAUGUAGCUUGCCUCGGUAAGUAUUAUAGCCUGUGGGAAUACUGCCAGCUGGGACUGAGGACUGCGACGUAAGUCAAGGAUGCUGGCAUAAUGGUUAUAUGCCGC